Molecule: long non-coding RNA, 1270 nt
Organism: Adelges cooleyi (spruce gall adelgid)
Lineage: Eukaryota; Metazoa; Arthropoda; Insecta; Hemiptera; Adelgidae
Exons: 3
Source: RefSeq, a predicted model, not a curated record
GUGUGUGAUAAUAAUAUUUUUGUUCUUGAUUGUGUAGAAGAUUAUAAGACCUUAAGUCAUUGUGUAUCAAUAAUUAUUGUUAUAGUAAUUUUGUUUACUCUUCGGUGUUUUGUGCUAUCUCUACCAUAGUCUCCUACAGAAAAUAUUAACGAAAAAUCACGGUCAAAACGUACACCAGUAAAGUCACUUGUUCAACGAAAAAACUCCAGUAAAGAAGCAAGAAUUAUUCUAGACAGCAAUCUUCAUUCAAGCUGCCUUCAGUGAAAAUGUUUAUUAUGAAACCGUCCAACAAACCAACAUCAGUUUCAAUGAGUAAUUUUGUCGAUCAAUUUUAUGCUACAGAAAAACGGUUAGGAUCUCCCGUAACUCUGCCUAAGAGCAGAGAAAUGCUUUAUGAAUCAAGUUCUUAUGCACAACUUGCUCAAUGUAUUGAAUCUUUAAAGCAACAAUUACAAACAAGUUGUUUGAUGACAGUAUAAAAAGUGCUUUUUGUGGAACUAUGAACUUGGAUUAUAACUUCUCAGACUAAAUUUCCCUCUGCCGUCUCUUCGAGUAUUACGUAGAAUACAUGAAAAUAUUAUACGACAAAUAUGAUAACACAUAAGAACUGUUUUCUGCAAAUGACUAUCUCAUUCGAAUUCAGCAAAAUAUUGUAGUGAACAAGCAUGGAUGGACGUUAAUUAAUUCUACGACUUUUAGAUAACCAUGAGUAUGUGUAAUUAUUUUGUUACUAACACCAAGGGAUUGAUACAACAACAACAAGCUUACUACUCAAAAUUAUUAAAAUAGUUUUCAUAAAUAUAAUUGAGUUUUAGACUCGCAAGAUACAUUUGAUAACAUGAGAUCGAUGUUUAUGUUUUUUUAACAAAAGACAAGCUUUGCUCAGAAAAACUACUUGAUACAGUCGAGAGAUAUGCGUACGACAAGCCUGACCGAGAUGUUAAUUUUUAUUUUUUUGUUAGUUAUUUAGAUUGAAAUGACUAAAAUUAUGUAAUAUAAACAUAACAUAAUAAUAUCAAUGGCAUAGUGCACAAGUGUGUUGAAUGAUUUUUUUUUUGUUAUAAUUUUAAACAUUAUUAUGUAUUUAAUGAAGAACUUAUGGAUGGUUCUCUAGCAGCAGUAAUUUUUAGUCAGGCUAUUAUAGGUAAUAUAUAUACAAAUAAUAAUGUUUAAUUAGUAUUUUAAAAUGAUUUUUCUUCUAAAACAAUUAUUUUUUGCUAUGAUAUAUUUGACAAGUAUUUUUUAAGUAGAUAAUUUUAUACUUAUUAUG